Carassius gibelio (silver crucian carp) is the source of this 2790-nucleotide long non-coding RNA. RefSeq lists it as uncharacterized. The transcript has 3 exons. Lineage: Eukaryota; Metazoa; Chordata; Actinopteri; Cypriniformes; Cyprinidae. The record is from RefSeq and is a predicted model, not a curated record.
UUUUUGUGUGUCUGUUUGUAGGUGUUUGUUUUGUCCACUCAUCCGUAUGGCUGCAGGGUGAUCCAGCGUAUAUUGGAGCACUGUACCCAGGAGCAGACCCUGCCCAUCCUGGAAGAACUCCACCAGCACUCUGAGCAGCUGGGACAGAAGUAUCAAGGCGUUUCAUUGGAGAUGACCCCCAAAACAUAUUAUACAGUGUCCAGCGAUGCACUGUUCAAGGAUCAGUAUGGUAACUACGUCAUCCAGCAUGUUUUAGAGCAUGGACGUCCAGAAGACAAGAGCAAGAUAGUGGCGGAGGUCAGAGGGAAGGUUCUGGCUCUGAGUCAGCAUAAAUUUGCAAGGUCUGUUAAUCUAAGAAAAUUAUAUUCUAUAGAUGAAACAUUAUGAUUUCAUAUCAUGAUUAUAGUGACCAAAAACAUUUUAAAAUGCUUCAACGUGGCUUAAUGUACUAAGACCAAAUUUGAAGGACCAAAUUCAAUUUGCACCUUAUUAAUAAAGCAUACUAUGUACAGAAAAGCAGUAGAGCCCAGAAUUUGCAUGGAAUGCGCAAAGAUUCACAUUGAGCAUCUUUUUGUUAUACCACUGUCUUUGUCCAUUUAGCCACAUUAAGCGUUUUAAUUAUAACGAUUUUGCCCAUAUAUGGCUAUUAUACAUCUUAUUGAUGUUGCAGAGUGUGGUCUUUUAUUAUCACCAUCUUACUGCGUAAAGUCACAUUAAGCCCAAAUUUUCUUUAUGGAGGUUUAUAUUUGGGAGAAAAUCCUUCAUUUUCGUCUUUCAACUUGGAAUAUUUUAUUCUGUGUGUUAUAAUGAAGGCUUUGUGAAACUGAUCAACUUUCCCAGUUCAUUUAGAUUUGACAGGGUUCCCACGCUUCUUGAAAGUACUUGAAUAUCAGACACAUGGAUUCAAUGCCUGGAAAGUACUUGAAAACAAAUAAGUCAUUGAAAGUGCAACUGACCCGAUCAGCAUAUUUGUGUUUGCACUCAGGGGAGCUUCAAAGGUUUCUAACUUCCAACGUGUUUUUGCAGCGUUAUGUAUCACAGACAUACAGUUGCAAUCAAAAUUAUUAAAACCCCUUGACCUGCAAGACAUUUUGCUGUGGAGAUAAUUUUAUGAAAUCAAUUCAACAAAGGCAUCAGUAAAGUAUUAGAGAGAGUUUGUUAAUACACUUUUGAUUGAUUCUGAGAAUGGAACUUGGAUGAAUCAUGACAAAAUUCGAAUUGGCUCUAAACAUUCAUGUUCAAAAUUAUUCAACCCCCUUUGUGCAGAAUCUUUUUUCUUUAAAAUCACAAAUAAAUGCUGUCUGUAAAUGUUUAGAAGCUUCUGUCACCUCUCUACUACAGUCUUGGCCCAUUCCUCGGCUGAAAAAGCUUCCUGAUCACUGAUAAUCUUUGGUUUUCACAUUGCCACUGCUAUCUUCAGAUUCAACCAGAUAUUUGCAGUGAGAAUUAAGCCUGGAGACUGAACAGGUCACUCAAGUACAUUCUAUGACUGAUCCCUGAACCAAGCAGUAGUACAUUUGGAUGUGUACUUUGGGAUGACUGUCCUGUAGGAAAGUCCAGCUGAUCAUCAGCUUCAGUCUUUGCACCAAAGGCAUCACAAUUCUUGUCAAAAUGGCCUGAUACUUCAAAGAAUCCAUGAUGUCCUUCAUACAGUCAUGAUUUCCACUUCCUUCUACAGUAAAGAAACCCCAUAACCGGACUGAUCCACCUCCAAUGUUGAGGAUGGAGAUGGUGCUCUUCUUAUGAGCUCAACCUUUUUUGCAGCAGACAUACCGCUGAUCCGUGGGUCCAAAAAUUCCAGUUUGGUCUCAUUACACAAUAAAAGAUUAUUGCAGAGCUCCACAUGUCUACACAAAUGAAUUUUAUCAAGUUCAAGUUGGCCUUUUGUUCUUCUUGAUCAAGAGUGGUAUUCUGCAAGAUGUCUCAACAUGAAGGUCAUACUUGUCUAGUGUUCUUCUUACACACGGCAUUGAAAUGGUUUUCUUCCUUUCAUCGGGUCAUCUUGCAAGUCUUUGGCUGUACCUUGCAGGUUUUUCUCUGUUGCUCUGAUUAAACAUUUUAUGAUAUUGUGCUUUUUCUUCAACACCCUCAAAGGUUUUCUGGUAAACCACUUUAAGCUAAGGAAUAAGGCUGAGAGCUGUGUCUCUAGAAACUUUCAAUGUCUUGGAAAUCUUCAUACAGCCUUAGCCUUUUUAAAGUAAUACAAUAUUUAUUCUCUUUAGCUUUUUUGAGAUCUCGGUUGACAAUUUUUGCUACUAAACUUCAACACAUGCAUGGGCUAACUGUAUGUAUGUGUAACAGCUCAAGAUAAUUCUGUUUUCAAUAGUUUCUGAAGGUUUAAUUGUGUUUUGAGACUGUUUUAUUCCCCACCAUGCAAAUAAGUGAUUUAAAAACAGCAACGUUGAAUAGGGGUUGAAUAAUUGAGAGCAGUAUUAUAAAAAAAAAAAAAAAUCAUAUAACUCAAAAAUAUUAAACUUUUAAUAUGCCAGUGAACUGUUAUAGAUGCAUUUUAUUUAUUUAUUUUUAAUCCUGGAUCUUCAGAAAAGCUUGUAUUUGUAAAGUACUGCAGUCUCUGAGGGGUUGAGUAAUUUUGAUUGCAACCGUAUCUAUUGAUUCCUUGAACCCGAUGUUACCGUAUUUUUCGGACUAUACGUCGCACCUGAGUAUAAGUCGCAUCAGUCCAAAAAUACGUCAUGAUGAGGAAAAAAACAUACAAGUCGCACUGGACUAUAAGUUGCAUUUAUUUAGAACCGAGCACCAAGAGAAAACAGUACGCCCUCUCGCGGCUGU